Molecule: long non-coding RNA, 835 nt
Organism: Lotus japonicus
Lineage: Eukaryota; Viridiplantae; Streptophyta; Magnoliopsida; Fabales; Fabaceae
Exons: 3
Source: RefSeq, a predicted model, not a curated record
AGGAGCAGAACACAAUCUGAUUGAAGGGGGUCACGUGACCACCCUUUGGUAUUGUUGGUAUACUACCCUGAAAUUGUUAUAAACCCUCUUUUAACCAAAUAACCCCACCCCCAUCACUUUUUCCCCACCAGCCGUAACCUCUUCUUUUCUUUCUCGCGUUAUGCAACUUUCUUCUGCACAGCGACAUCAAAUUCUCCUUUCCCUCCUUUUAUUCUUUUGUCCUUUAGCAAAGAAAAACAACAGCAGCCCCAUUUAAUAUAUAUUUACUCAUGAAUGAGGUUGAUGACACUUCAAUUGGGAGAACUCUGAGUUAACAAUUGGGGUAGAAGUUGUGCAUUGAGGGAGGAGAAGGAAAUUCAACUAUUCAGAAUUUCUAUUUCAAUUGUAUUUAAGAUUUACCGGGUGAAGAUACGUUGGGUUGUCGCGCAUUUGUUGAGGACGGUCCAAUUGUUUCGUCAUAGCUAUUCUUCAGCAGCUGAGUAACAAGCUGUUCCUGGAUUAAGAUUGUCAGUUGUCUUGCUGGUAGGCCUCCAUCGGCUGGUGGCCUCAUUGCUAUUUUAUUUCUUUUGAUUCUAGUUAUCUGCAGCUAUAGGGAGUCAUAGGUGAUUUUAGUUUGGGGUUGACGGUAUUGUUUUAUUUUAAAAGUUGACGCUGAGCGUCAAAUUUUGGUUUUGUACCUUUUCUUGAAAAUUAUGGAUUUGGAGAAUAUUAUUUAGCAGGUUAUGUUAUUUUGAGAUUACAGAAAUACAUAGGAGACUUUGUCGUUUUUUUUAUAAAUUUAUGAUGACGUAUUUAUCAUGGUGAAUUCGUUAUAAAUGGAUUAUGUGUUAAAGGC